AAUAUUUGUAAAAUAUUUCAUAUAUCCCAGUCUUCUAGAAUCUUGCCCCUCCUCACCAAAAGAUGGAUUCUACUCCCAAUGAUGCCCUGGGUCUGGGCAAGGCUUUCUUACUGCCUUGAUGAACAGAAUGUGGGAGAGUAAUGCUGAGAUAAAAAAGACGACGGAUUUCAUAACUUCUGUGUCAACUCUGGGCUUGGAUUAUCUUCCUGAGGACACUGGGUCUUACUUGGAUGCCAAAUCUCUGUGUGCUGCUGAACCUGUGUGCAAAGAAUGGGACCGCAUGACAUCGGAGGGCAUGUUAUGGAAGAAGCUCAUUGAAACAAUGGUCAGCACAGGUUCUUGUGGGUAGUAUUUAUUAAAAAACAACCUCCUGAUGGAAAUGCUCCUCCAAACUCUUCUUAUAAGGCACUUUAUCCUAAAAUUAUACAGGACAUUGAGACCAUAGAAUCUAAUUGGAGAUGUGAAUGACAGUUUACAGAGACUCCCCUGCCAACAUAAAAUGAGCAAAGGAGUUUUCUGUUUCCAUUAAGAUGACCAGAAAGUAGUAAGCAAACUUUGAGACAACAUGAUCAAAAUCUGGUAUAAAAACACAUUGAAAGCAAAGUUUCACAAGCUACACAGGUUCCAUCCUGUGUCUCUAGUAUGAAGAGAAGGUGAUCACGACUGAGUCAUGGGUUCUACAGUCAGAGUAUGGGAUGUGAUUACAAGGGCCAUGCUAAACUCAUUAACUCACCAUUGUGAAGCAGUUCUGUUCUUGCACAUCAAUAAUGGCAUGAUGGUGGCCUGAUCCAAAGAUGGUUCCCUUGCUUUAUGAGAUAUAGCCUCCCCA
This 829-nucleotide long non-coding RNA is filed under the name Fukomys damarensis (Damara mole-rat). RNAcentral's name for it is "lncRNA (ENSFDAG00000022762.1)". The record is from RNAcentral. Lineage: Eukaryota; Metazoa; Chordata; Mammalia; Rodentia; Bathyergidae.